Molecule: transfer RNA, 73 nt
Filed under: Monodelphis domestica (gray short-tailed opossum)
Lineage: Eukaryota; Metazoa; Chordata; Mammalia; Didelphimorphia; Didelphidae
Rfam family: tRNA
About the family: Transfer RNA (tRNA) molecules are approximately 80 nucleotides in length. Their secondary structure includes four short double-helical elements and three loops (D, anti-codon, and T loops). Further hydrogen bonds mediate the characteristic L-shaped molecular structure. tRNAs have two regions of fundamental functional importance: the anti-codon, which is responsible for specific mRNA codon recognition, and the 3' end, to which the tRNAs corresponding amino acid is attached (by aminoacyl-tRNA synthetases). tRNAs cope with the degeneracy of the genetic code in two manners: having more than one tRNA (with a specific anti-codon) for a particular amino acid; and 'wobble' base-pairing, i.e. permitting non-standard base-pairing at the 3rd anti-codon position.
Source: Rfam by way of RNAcentral
AGCUGGGUGACUUAGUAGAUUGAGUACCAGUCCUAGAAAUGGGAUGUCUUGGGUUCAAAUCACUUCCUAGCUG